This 90-nucleotide transfer RNA is filed under the name Candidatus Peregrinibacteria bacterium. RNAcentral describes it as "tRNA-Ser". It matches the Rfam family "tRNA". From Rfam's summary of the family: Transfer RNA (tRNA) molecules are approximately 80 nucleotides in length. Their secondary structure includes four short double-helical elements and three loops (D, anti-codon, and T loops). Lineage: Bacteria; Candidatus Peregrinibacteriota. The record is from RNAcentral.
GGAGAGGUCGCAUAGUGGUCUAGUGCGCUCGCUUGGAAAGCGAGUAAACCUGCAAGGGUUUCGAGGGUUCAAAUCCCUCCCUCUCCGCCA